RNAcentral lists this ribosomal RNA (496 nucleotides) under uncultured bacterium. RNAcentral's name for it is "partial 16S ribosomal RNA". It matches the Rfam family "Bacterial small subunit ribosomal RNA", at positions 28 to 507 of the family's 1533-position model. The record is from RNAcentral.
GAUGAACGCUGGCGGCGUGCCUAAUACAUGCAAGUCGAGCGAACAGACGAGGAGCUUGCUCCUCUGACGUUAGCGGCGGACGGGUGAGUAACACGUGGAUAACCUACCUAUAAGACUGGGAUAACUUCGGGAAACCGGAGCUAAUACCGGAUAAUAUAUUGAACCGCAUGGUUCAAUAGUGAAAGACGGUUUUGCUGUCACUUAUAGAUGGAUCCGCGCCGCAUUAGCUAGUUGGUAAGGUAACGGCUUACCAAGGCAACGAUGCGUAGCCGACCUGAGAGGGUGAUCGGCCACACGGAAACUGAGACAGGGCCCAACCCCUAACGGGGGGCAGAAGUGGGGAUUCUUCCGCAAUGGGCGAAGGCCUGACGGGGCAACGCGGCGUGAGUGAUGAGGGCCUUCGGAUCGUAAACCCUUGUAAUUAGGAAGAACAAAUGUGUAAGUAACUAUGCACGUCUUGACGGUACCUAAUCAGAAAGCCACGGCUAACUACGUG